Long non-coding RNA from Sorghum bicolor (sorghum), 441 nucleotides. RefSeq lists it as uncharacterized. Lineage: Eukaryota; Viridiplantae; Streptophyta; Magnoliopsida; Poales; Poaceae. The transcript is spliced from 2 exons. The record is from RefSeq and is a predicted model, not a curated record.
GACAAAUCAUAGCUCAACUCAACCAUGAAAGGGAGGGCCUUAGCGGCAGCGGCAGCCUUAGUGCUGGCCCUUUUAACCUUAGGUGCUGAGACCAACGCAGGUGUCACGUGCUCUCCAGCCGAGUGUGAAAGUUAUUGUAAAAGCAAGGGCUACAAAGACGGAAUCUGUCGUGGGGGCGGGGUGGUACCAGAAUACUGCAUGUGCAUUAAACUUUAUACCAACUUUAUGGGUAAAAAAGGAGGUAAAGGAGAAGGAGAUGUUGAUGAUGGUGGAGGCGAAGCCUUGUUUCUAGAGGAUGAGGCGACAAUUCCUUGAUAGUGUUGAUGACUAGGACUCUUGAGAGCUGGGUCCAUGAAUAGGCAUGACUGAUAAAUUAAUUACUUAUUCACAACUUGGUAUUAUGUGCUUGAGAUUUAGUUAUUAUUAUGCAUGCCAAGUCAA